GUUAAUGUAUAACUAAUAGUUGUCUUUAUGUCGAAGAAUAUAAAAUGCAACGCAUUCAACUAUAUACCACGGUCUAUGCAAUCCAUACCAAGUGGUGACAUCAUAUUAUACUAUGCAGAUAUUGUUGAAUGAUAUAAAGAUGGAAGCUUGCAAUUAAUGGUGGCAAUAUUAAUUCACCUUAUGACAAACUGUGUGUGCAUAUUCUGUGCAACACACCUACACGCAUGCGUUUCACUAUAUGCCACUGAAGUUGAACAAUGUGACAAAUAGUUGUACACAUCUGUAUUCGUGAAUUAAUGAAAAUCAACUGAUGCUUGUGUUGACAACAUCCAAAACAAAGAAAAAAUUGGAAGCAGUCAACCGAAAGAGCAAUUUUGUUUCAGAGCCAUUUCAGAGCCCAGAUUUGAACAACUGCCGUAGUAAAUCGGGGCAUUGUACCAGGAUCAGCAGCUAACGUGCUGUUAGCGCACACUUAUCGGAGACCAACGUCCGCUUCAUUUGCAAACAUCAGCAAACAUCCAUGGCGACCCGGUAUGCAAGCUGGAGCGGGAAACAAACUGCGAAGGAGUUGGUCCAAGGACACAUUCAAUUUAGACAUAAGUGAUGAUGGAGUCUAUCACGGUUAAUAAAAGUAAUUGUUCAUUGAUUAUA
This is a long non-coding RNA of Aedes albopictus (Asian tiger mosquito), 651 nucleotides long. RefSeq lists it as uncharacterized. Lineage: Eukaryota; Metazoa; Arthropoda; Insecta; Diptera; Culicidae. The record is from RefSeq and is a predicted model, not a curated record. The transcript is spliced from 2 exons.